GAUGAACGCUGGCGGCGUGCCUAAUACAUGCAAGUCGAGCGAACAGACGAGGAGCUUGCUCCUCUGACGUUAGCGGCGGACGGGUGAGUAACACGUGGAUAACCUACCUAUAAGACUGGGAUAACUUCGGGAAACCGGAGCUAAUACCGGAUAAUAUAUUGAACCGCAUGGUUCAAUAGUGAAAGACGGUUUUGCUGUCACUUGUAGAUGGAUCCGCGCCGCAUUAGCUAGUUGGUAAGGUAACGGCUUACCAAGGCGACGAUGCGUAGCCGACCUGAGAGGGUGAUCGGCCACACUGGAACUGAGACACGGUCCAGACUCCUACGGGAGGCAGCAGUAGGGAAUAUUCCGCAAUGGGCGAAAGCCUGACGGAGCAACGCCGCGUGAGUGAUGAAGGUCUUCGGAUCGUAAAACUCUGUUAUUAGGGAAGAACAAAUGUGUAAGUAACUAUGCACGUCUUGACGGUACCUAAUCAGAAAGCCACGGCUAACUACGUG
This 497-nucleotide ribosomal RNA is filed under the name uncultured bacterium. RNAcentral's name for it is "partial 16S ribosomal RNA". It matches the Rfam family "Bacterial small subunit ribosomal RNA", at positions 28 to 507 of the family's 1533-position model. The record is from RNAcentral.